ACAGUAACGAAGUCAGAAUCAAGUUUAACACAUGACAUUGUGGAAGGGAAUCCAAAAUUAAAGAAAUUCUUGUGAAAACGCCGUGUUUAAGAUUGAAGUACAUAGUGAAGAGAGGCGUUUAAUCUAUGAAUGAAGAGUGAUAUUAGAAAAAAAAAAUCGGCUAUUAGGUAGAAUUGCAAGAGGAUUGGGUAUGUGGUGAGAUAGUCACAAAAUAGCCAACAA
Cinara cedri is the source of this 222-nucleotide non-coding RNA. The record is from the annotation of a GenBank genome assembly. Lineage: Eukaryota; Metazoa; Arthropoda; Insecta; Hemiptera; Aphididae.